RNA transcript from Prosopis cineraria, 2188 nucleotides. RefSeq lists it as uncharacterized. Lineage: Eukaryota; Viridiplantae; Streptophyta; Magnoliopsida; Fabales; Fabaceae. The transcript has 4 exons. The record is from RefSeq and is a predicted model, not a curated record.
UACCUAUUUGGUCAUGGUUAGAACUCGGAUCAUUUGAUGGACCUUGUGGCCAGUUAGAUUUGGUGGUCGGAUUUCGUUCUCUGCUCUGCUUUCGAGUUUCACCACUGCUCUAUUUUUCCUAGAUGACACAUGAAUGGUGAUAUGCGAUUCUGCUGCUCUUCUCAUGAUUUCACGUCCUUUCUGAAAACUGAUUCUGCUACCCGAGCUAGCAACAUCCCUUCUCAGUUCUCAUUCCAUGGCUGCAACCAUUUCGCUUUCCUUUCCUUUGGAUCCGCAGAAGCUUCACCAUCCCUCUCGUCUCCCCUCGUCUUCUGUACCUAGACAUCUCCAAUCUCGUUUCUUUACUCGGCUAUCACCCAUCUACAAAUACCCACUUGCCACGUUCCAUAGAGAUGGCACGUUCAGCUUCAACUUUAAGUCUUCAUCUUCCUCUUCAUCUCAUUCUUCAACAACACUUUCAACCCCAACCUCUUCGUGCCAGCAAGACCCCUUUCGCAUCGGUCGAUUUUUGAGUAAUGAUGAGCUCGAAAAGCUCAAAUUCCUUGAAAAUUUCGUAUAUUUUAAGGAAUUGAAAUCUGGGUCUUUGCGGGUUCGGGUAAUGGGGGAGGAGGAAAUGGACAUGACCAUUGGGUUGCUUGCCGAAUCAUUUGCUGAGUCAAUGGUGUUACCCGUAGGUUAUGUUUCUGUGUUGAAGUUUUUGGUAAAGCAGUAUUUGGUUGAGAGGAAAGUUCAAAUGCCGCACAUGGCCACGCUUAUCGGAUUUUACAAAGAAACGGUGGAAGGCGGUGAAGAACAAGAAGUUCAGUUAGCAGGGACGGUGGAGGUUUGUUUUAACAAGAGAGGUGCCAAUGUUUCACCUCCAACACCCACGCCUCCCAAAGAUUCGCCUUACAUAUGUAAUAUGGCAGUAAAAGAUUCUCUGAGGAGGAGGGGCAUUGGCUGGCAUCUUCUAAAGGCAAGUGAGGAGCUAAUUUCUCAGAUGAGUUCCUCAAGAGAAGUUUAUUUACACUGUAGAAUGAUAGAUGCAGCUCCCCUUAACAUGUAUAAAAAAGCGGAUUACAAAAUUGUAAAGACGGAUAGUGUAUUAGUUCUGCUGAUGUUGCAGAGACGCAAGUACCUGAUGCGCAAGAAACUCCCUCUCUUAAGUAACCCUCCAAAGUUAGACGUUCCAGAAUCUGAUACAGAAAAGUCUUCUGCAUGAAUACAGGCAAAGAAGUGGUAGCAAUGAUGGUCAUGGGGGUUUGAAUUAUGAGUAGGGAUCAAAUCAGUGGUUCAGGGAUCCCUAUUUGUAUCCGCCUAUCUAUAGGGCUGAGAAACAUUGUGUUGCAGCUCUUUUACACAUUCUGCCAUAGAAGGUCUCUCACUACUGUCUGUGCGGAUACAUCGUGAUGCAAGAUUGGCAAACAUGGCUAUGGACUCCAUGGUAUAAGAAUUUCGUGCCAUUUCUGGGUCUAUCACCCUGCGGAGCUUCUUGCGGUCAUUCAGUAUGUUUCUCACCUAUAUGUCAAUGUGGACAAUAUCAAUCCCCGUCCUUUAAAACUUGUAAACCAGAAUGUUUUAUGAUGGGAAUAUGGACAAUUACUACACACAUAUUUAGGGAUGCUGAACAAAAUUGGAAACAAAGGAAAUUCACUGAAGAAAAUAACUAGUUAUUAGUAAUUGAAUGACCAAGUGUUUUGGAAUGGAAGAAAGUAAUAGCAUUGGUGACUUUCUGGGUUUAAUAUGUUGCUUUGACUUCCUCAAGGAAUUGUAUACCCUUCUGUAUAUAUAUUUUCUUUUACCUGUAAUACAAGGUUUUGAUCAUUUGGACCUUGGUUUAAAUCUACAGCUCGACGUCCUGUCAAAAGCUCAAGAAGAACAACACCAAAGCAUAAAACAUCACUUUGUAGCGUCAGUUUCCCCGUCUGUUGUCAAAGGAAAUAAAUUAAUUAUUAGAUUCAGACCAAUCUUUGGCAAUAUCCGGCUACAAGACUACUUCAUUGUUUGUGGACAUGUAGGGUUUUCAGUGAUAGAGCAGUAUGCAUGUUUCAUUGAGAGAAAAAGAACCAGAUAGAUAAUGUCAAGUUUACCGUCAUUACUUGAUAAAAAGCACCCUAGUUAUCAACCUACUUAUUUGGAUUAUGUUCGAUAAAGUUCAUGUCCUAGCAUCACGACAACUAUAAGAGCUGUCUCACUCGAUUUUACCUUA